UACGUAGGGUGCGAGCGUUGUCCGGAAUUAUUGGGCGUAAAGAGCUUGUAGGCGGUUUGUCGCGUCUGCUGUGAAAAUCCGGGGCUCAACCCCGGACUUGCAGUGGGUACGGGCAGACUAGAGUGUGGUAGGGGAGACUGGAAUUCCUGGUGUAGCGGUGAAAUGCACAGAUAUCAGGAGGAACACCGGUGGCGAAGGCGGUCAUCUGGGCCAAUACUGACGCUGAGGAGCGAAAGCGUGGGGAGCGAACAGG
Molecule: ribosomal RNA, 253 nt
Filed under: uncultured bacterium
Lineage: Bacteria
Description: partial 16S ribosomal RNA
Rfam family: Bacterial small subunit ribosomal RNA
Source: RNAcentral